AUUGAACGCUGGCGGCAUGCCUUACACAUGCAAGUCGAACGGCAGCACGGGAGCAAUCCUGGUGGCGAGUGGCGAACGGGUGAGUAAUAUAUCGGAACGUGCCCAGUCGUGGGGAUAACGUAGCGAAAGCUACGCUAAUACCGCAUACGAUCUAUGGAUGAAAGCGGGGGAUCGCAAGACCUCGCGCGAUUGGAGCGGCCGAUAUCAGAUUAGGUAGUUGGUGAGGUAAAGGCUCACCAAGCCGACGAUCUGUAGCUGGUCUGAGAGGACGACCAGCCACACUGGGACUGAGACACGGCCCAGACUCCUACGGGAGGCAGCAGUGGGGAAUUUUGGACAAUGGGCGCAAGCCUGAUCCAGCAAUGCCGCGUGCAGGAUGAAGGCCUGUGUAGAUCUUUACCCGUACGUAUGAUAAUAGACAGU
Molecule: ribosomal RNA, 423 nt
Filed under: uncultured bacterium
Lineage: Bacteria
Description: bacterial SSU rRNA
Rfam family: Bacterial small subunit ribosomal RNA
Source: RNAcentral